This 323-nucleotide unclassified non-coding RNA is filed under the name Typhula sp. RNAcentral's name for it is "partial internal transcribed spacer region". The stretch from base 1 to 46 matches the Rfam family "Eukaryotic small subunit ribosomal RNA", at positions 1786 to 1831 of the family's 1831-position model. RNAcentral also lists the same sequence under 1 other name. Lineage: Eukaryota; Fungi; Basidiomycota; Agaricomycetes; Agaricales; Typhulaceae. The record is from RNAcentral.
AAGUCGUAACAAGGUUUCCGUAGGUGAACCUGCGGAAGGAUCAUUAUCGAAAGCUGUAGAUGUUGGUUGUGCUGGCUCUCCGGAGUAAUGUGCACGCCCGUCUCACUCUCACCUUCAUUCAACUGUGCACUUUUGACGGAUGGGGAUAUCUUUCCGCUUCUGGCGGGUUUGGGGGUCAAGCGUUCACUCGCGUUUUCCCCUGCUUUUCCCAUCCGUAAACCCCCACACACACACUUUAUAAAAAUUAACUUAGAAUGUCUGAUUUGAUCCCUCAGGAUCUUUAAUCUUUAAUACAACUUUUAACAACGGAUCUCUUGGCUCUC